This is an unclassified non-coding RNA of Macaca mulatta (Rhesus monkey), 148 nucleotides long. It matches the Rfam family "Metazoan signal recognition particle RNA". Rfam says of the family: The signal recognition particle (SRP) is a universally conserved ribonucleoprotein. It is involved in the co-translational targeting of proteins to membranes. The record is from Ensembl. Lineage: Eukaryota; Metazoa; Chordata; Mammalia; Primates; Cercopithecidae.
GCUGGGCAUGGUGGCGGGUGCCUGUAAUCCCAGUUACUAGGGAGGCUGAGGCAGGAGAAUUGCUUGAACCCAGGAGGCAGGGGUUGCAGUGAGCUGAGAUCGCACCACUGCACUUCAGCCUGGGUGACAGAGUGAGACUCUGUCUCUC